AAGUGGAACCGGAGCCCGGGCGCGGGCGCCCACGUUCCAUUCCCGGGAAGGCCUGGGAAGGGAGGGAAUCGCUCACCCGCCAGCCCGCCUGCAGGGAAAGGGCUCCUGGAGCUGUCGAUGCCUGCCCGACGCUGAGAUAACUCUUGGGUCCCAGUUAUCCACCAGCCACUUCUGCCUCGAUUCACCAAAGGGCAGGGAAAGAACCUUUUGGUGAGAUGGUGUGAAUUAGCGACAUCCAGCCUGAGCUGAAGUCUCCAGCGGGUCAAAGAAAUCUUUCCAUUUGCAAACUACCAAGGCUGACUUGCUGUGCAUUUGGCGGGCCUCCUGCCCCUGAUUCUGCUGGUUUGGAGAUGCUUUCUCGCUCUUUGGUUGGCUUCUGUCUCCACACAUUGUGGGGAUCCCAGGGAUUCGUCAUAGGACUCUCGGAUCGCUGGUGCCUCCACUGUGAUCUCCGGUCUCCCUGCGGCCAGCACUGACUUCUAGCAACAGAAUCCUGCAUGAGGGCCUAGGCACAGAACUUUAUUUCCACUCUUCUGAACACAUCUAAUGUGAUGCUCUGCAAUUGUCUGAAAUUUAUCCUACCCUAAGUCAUUAUCUUGUCCCCUUCUCUGGAACCUGCUUCACUUCCCGUAUCCCAAGGUGAGGUUUGGGGCUUCGCUGUCCUCCUCACUUCCCAGGCCACUCUUCUUCAUGGAAGCCUCGCGGUUUACCCUCCACCGCCUACACCUUAUCUUCUUGUUACUUUUGCCCCACAGAUAUCACCCUGAUAUGAUCUCUGUUUCUCACUCCUGCUGGCUUGAUCUUAUGUCUUGCAUUAUUCCGCAUUAGAACAAUUGAUCCCUGUCAACUCCCAUCUCUAUUCUCCACGUCGGUGUCCUCACUAUUUCCAGGUUAUAUUGCAGAACCAAAGCUGCUUAUUUGUCACGUUGAUGCUUAGACACCUCUGUGGGCUUCUGGCAGCUGAAAGGAUAAAAUUUAAUUUCUGUGGUUUGGUUUAGUAAAUUCUCAUAAUCUGCUCCUGUAUUUGUUUGUUAGGGCUGCCAUAACAAAGUACCAGAGACUGGGUGGCUUAACAGAAAUUUAUUUGCUCACCUUGUCUCUACAAAAAAUACAAAAAUUAGCCAGGCUUUGCGGUGUGUGCCUUUGGUCCCAGCUAUUAGGGACGCUGAGGUGGGAGGAUCGCUUGAGCCCGGGAGGCAGAGGAUGUAGUGAGCCAAGAUCGGGCCACUGCACUCCAAGUGACAGAGUGAGACUCUGUCUCAUAAAGAAAGAAAGAGAGAGAGAGAAGAAAGAAAAAAAGAAGGAAGGAAGGAAAAA
RNAcentral lists this long non-coding RNA (1317 nucleotides) under Homo sapiens (human). RNAcentral's name for it is "novel transcript". Lineage: Eukaryota; Metazoa; Chordata; Mammalia; Primates; Hominidae. The record is from RNAcentral.